RNAcentral lists this ribosomal RNA (690 nucleotides) under uncultured Acidobacteriota bacterium. Its description in RNAcentral is "bacterial SSU rRNA". It matches the Rfam family "Bacterial small subunit ribosomal RNA", at positions 15 to 684 of the family's 1533-position model. Lineage: Bacteria; Pseudomonadati; Acidobacteriota. The record is from RNAcentral.
GAUCCUGGCUCAGAAUCAACGCUGGCGGCGUGCCUCAGACAUGCAAGUCGAACGCGAAAGGCUCCUUCGGGGGCCGAGUAGAGUGGCGCACGGGUGAGUAACACGUAGGUAAUUUGCCUUCGGGUGGGGAAUAACAGCCGGAAACGGCUGCUAAUACCGCAUAAUGCAGCGGCUCGACAUCGAGACAGUUGUUAAAGCGGGGGAUCGCAAGACCUCGCGCCUGAAGAGAAGCCUGCGGCAGAUUAGCUAGUUGGUAGGGUAAUGGCCUACCAAGGCAACGAUCUGUAACCGGCCUGAGAGGGCGGUCGGUCACACUGACACUGACAUACGGGUCAGACUCCUACGGGAGGCAGCAGUCGGGAAUUUUGGGCAAUGGGCGAAAGCCUGACCCAGCAACGCCGCGUGAAGGAUGAAAUCCCUCGGGAUGUAAACUUUGCAAGAAUGGGAAGAAUAAGUGGGGGACAAUACCCCCCAUGAUGACGGUACCAUUUGUAAGCUCCGGCUAACUCCGUGCCAGCAGCCGCGGUAAUACGGGGGGAGCAAGCGUUGUUCGGAUUUACUGGGCGUAAAGGGCGCGUAGGCGGCGUGACAAGUCACUUGUGAAAUCUCCGGGCUUAACUCGGAACGGUCAAGUGAUACUGUCGUGCUAGAGUACAGAAGGGGCAACUGGAAUUCUCGGUGUAGCGGUGA